UUGACUGGGGAAGAGCGAGAGAAGUUGACCGAGGAAAUGCAGGAGAAGUGUACCCGCGAUGUGAUUGAGUCAAGUAUAAGGUUGGUUUAAAAAAAUUGUUUUAUAUGUUUUUGGUAUUUUUGUGUAUUUAAAUUUAUGUAUUGUGUUUUGGUUUUUUAAGAUGCAGCAAUUGAAAUUAAUGGGUGUACUCAUUCAUCCAAUUUCAGAUCAGUUAGACAUAGCUAAG
Molecule: long non-coding RNA, 226 nt
Filed under: Lathyrus oleraceus (garden pea)
Lineage: Eukaryota; Viridiplantae; Streptophyta; Magnoliopsida; Fabales; Fabaceae
Description: Pisum sativum (pea) long non-coding RNA (PSAT_LNC024754)
Source: RNAcentral